Non-coding RNA from Pelobates cultripes (western spadefoot toad), 305 nucleotides. Lineage: Eukaryota; Metazoa; Chordata; Amphibia; Anura; Pelobatidae. The record is from the annotation of a GenBank genome assembly.
GGUAGAUCCAAAAGGAGGUCUUGGGACAGUAACUCUGGGAUCAGGAUCUUUAAAAGCUCAAUAACAUAGCUGGAGAGGUCUUGUGGUUGUAUGUCCUAUGGGACGCCAUGCAGGAGAACACUGCUGCAUCUAUCACGAUCUUCAUAAUCUGUGAUCUUGUCCAAGAGGCUGUGAAAUUUGAGGCUGAGCUCAUUGUAUGCGUCGGCUAAGGAGUUGUGUGCUUCUGUGAGCUCCUCCGUUUUGUCUUCCAGGUGGGCCGUUCUUUCCCAUAUUGCCUGGAUAUUCGUCCUGGUGUCUUUGGCCAG